RNAcentral lists this ribosomal RNA (465 nucleotides) under Vreelandella stevensii. Its description in RNAcentral is "partial 16S ribosomal RNA". It matches the Rfam family "Bacterial small subunit ribosomal RNA", at positions 338 to 795 of the family's 1533-position model. Lineage: Bacteria; Pseudomonadati; Pseudomonadota; Gammaproteobacteria; Oceanospirillales; Halomonadaceae. The record is from RNAcentral.
CCUACGGGUGGCAGCAGUGGGGAAUAUUGGACAAUGGGGGCAACCCUGAUCCAGCCAUGCCGCGUGUGUGAAGAAGGCCCUCGGGUUGUAAAGCACUUUCAGUGAGGAAGAACGCCUGGUGGUUAAUACCCAUCAGGAAAGACAUCACUCACAGAAGAAGCACCGGCUAACUCCGUGCCAGCAGCCGCGGUAAUACGGAGGGUGCGAGCGUUAAUCGGAAUUACUGGGCGUAAAGCGCGCGUAGGUGGCUUGAUAAGCCGGUUGUGAAAGCCCCGGGCUCAACCUGGGAACGGCAUCCGGAACUGUCAAGCUAGAGUGCAGGAGAGGAAGGUAGAAUUCCCGGUGUAGCGGUGAAAUGCGUAGAGAUCGGGAGGAAUACCAGUGGCGAAGGCGGCCUUCUGGACUGACACUGACACUGAGGUGCGAAAGCGUGGGUAGCAAACAGGAUUAGAUACCCCGGUAGUU